RNAcentral lists this ribosomal RNA (440 nucleotides) under uncultured bacterium. RNAcentral describes it as "partial 16S ribosomal RNA". It matches the Rfam family "Bacterial small subunit ribosomal RNA", at positions 338 to 795 of the family's 1533-position model. The record is from RNAcentral.
CCUACGGGCGGCAGCAGUAGGGAAUAUUGCUCAAUGGGGGAAACCCUGAAGCAGCAACGCCGCGUGGAGGAUGAAGGUUUUCGGAUUGUAAACUUCUUUUGUUAGAGAAGAUAAUGACGGCAUCCAACGAAUAAGCAGCGGCUAACUCCGAGCCAGCAGCCGCGGUAAUACGGAGGGUGCAAGCGUUACUCGGAACCACUGGGCGUAAGGAGAGCGUAGGCGGGAUAGCAAGUCAGAUGUGAAAUCCUAUGGCUUAACCAUAGAACUGCAUUUGAAACUGUUAUUCGAGAGUAUGGGAGGGGUAGGUGGAAUUCUUGGUGUAGCGGUAAAAUGCGUAGAGAUCAGGAGGAAGACUCAUGGCGAAGGCGACCUGCUGGAACGUAACUGACGCUGAGGCGCGAAAGCGUGGGGAGCAAACAGGAUUAGAUACCCUUGUAGUC